UUUGGUAAACUAAUUUUUUAGAUUAAUGUUUCGGCCGUUAAUUUGUUGUUUAUAUCUUCUACCAAAU
Molecule: transfer RNA, 67 nt
Filed under: Sphyranura euryceae
Lineage: Eukaryota; Metazoa; Platyhelminthes; Monogenea; Polystomatidea; Sphyranuridae
Description: tRNA-Arg
Source: RNAcentral